RNAcentral lists this unclassified non-coding RNA (305 nucleotides) under plant metagenome. RNAcentral's name for it is "partial contains 5.8S ribosomal RNA, internal transcribed spacer 2, and large subunit ribosomal RNA". The stretch from base 1 to 105 matches the Rfam family "5.8S ribosomal RNA", at positions 50 to 154 of the family's 154-position model. The record is from RNAcentral.
GAAAUGCGAUAAGUAUUGUGAAUUGCAGAAUUCAGUGAAUCAUCGAAUCUUUGAACGCACAUUGCGCCCGCCAGUAUUCUGGCGGGCAUGCCUGUUCGAGCGUCAUUUCAACCAUCAAGCCCCCGGCUUGUGUUGGGGACCUGCGGCUGCCCGCAGGCCCUGAAAAACAGUGGCGGGCUCGCUGUCACACCGAGCGUAGUAGCAUACAUUCUCGCUCAGGGCGUGCUGCGGGUUCCGGCCGUUAAACGACCUUCAUAACCCAAGGUUGACCUCGGAUCAGGUAGGAAGACCCGCUGAACUUAAGC